Oryzias latipes (Japanese medaka) is the source of this 950-nucleotide long non-coding RNA. RefSeq lists it as uncharacterized. Lineage: Eukaryota; Metazoa; Chordata; Actinopteri; Beloniformes; Adrianichthyidae. The record is from RefSeq and is a predicted model, not a curated record.
UCUGCUCUACUUAAGGAGACCCAGCUCCAGCAUUCAUAGCCAGUUCAUUGCCCCUGAUGGUGCUCAGUCUAUCCUUAGACUCUAGUCUGGUUCCCUUGUCUUGUUCUAUAGCUAAUCCUUUUUAUUUUUUUUUCUGCCUCAGGAUUUCAUGCCACGAGAGUCACCUGAGUCAGACGCUUCCACGGGUAGCUACUACAUUCCUGAAAUCUCCUGAGAGAACCAGCCUUCGUUAUUGUCUUCUGGCACGCCACGGGUUUCGAGAUCGCCAAGAUCUCCAGCCACACCACAAAUCCCUUCUGCAUCAGAACCUCAAGUCUUGCCACGACCACAAACUUCGCCAGGACCCCCAGCCACGUCAGAUAAGAAAAUCAACCUUAUUACUUACCUACUCCUUACCUGUGUCCUCCUUCCGGGUUUCAGCAUCUGGGUCUGUCUUGCCUCUGUAUCGUGAAAAACUCAAAAGAAUCAACUCUGCACCUGCAGGGAAAUUCUGGUGACCAACAAGAUGGCUUUUGACAUUUCUACAAUAAAUAUACCCAAAGCCGACAUCUGCUCAGCAGUUUUACCUGCAGAGGAGAUCAUCAAGCAAAAGGACUGUUGAAUGUUGCUUCUUUCCACUCUUCCAGUUGACUAGUUAAUGCUCACAAUGUUUAGUUAAACAUGUGACUUAACUGUCUUUGUUUUGUUUAUUUAUUUUAUCAUUUUAGUAAUGAGAUUGAUAAAUCUGUGAAUUUUUUAUUGUGUUAACUUCUACAAUGCUACAAUCAAUCAGAAACUGUUUCAUUUACUAGUUUUAAUAUAAGACUCACUACCAAAACUUUCACAUUCUUAGCGCUGCUUAUUAUUGGAUUUUUUGGGAUUUUUAUCUUGUGAAGUUAGCUUCCCAUUGACAUUUUUUUCUGUCUUGUACUUACAUUUAAAAUGUGACGAAUAGAAAAACAUGAAUCAAA